Molecule: long non-coding RNA, 527 nt
Organism: Salmo salar (Atlantic salmon)
Lineage: Eukaryota; Metazoa; Chordata; Actinopteri; Salmoniformes; Salmonidae
Source: RefSeq, a predicted model, not a curated record
UCGACUGCAGUUACUGCACUUUCAAAACUCAAUUGAAAAAGUGUCCGGGGUGACUGUUUUGAGUUGGCUGUCCUCUCCAAUGAUGAAUGCGCGAAAGUUGCGCUGAUUCAACUGGGCGUGUGUCUUUUCCCAUGUCUCAACAAGGCAUUGUUCUAGUUUCGGCACGGCUGCAUUUACUUUCAAUUCUCACGGAAGACAAGCCAUACAAUGAGUGACUGCUCUUCAUAAACAUUCUCGCUGCCUAGUUGACAUUUACAUGAUUAUUUAAAUGGAACAUUUGACCACACCGACGCCACGGCAGGUUAAGUGGGGAAUCCCACCCAGACCAACCCCUUUCCCCCCUGACAAGAGACUGAAAGAUGGAAUGUAGCACAACACCUUCAGUGUAGCCUUAGAGAGUAUGGUUGACUUUACACUGACAUAUUUCAUACUUAUGCGUUGAUUGUCAACUCUUCUGCAAUACGAUUUUCCAGUCACGUCUCGUACAAUAUCUGUAACUCACUGAAUAAAUACUGUAAGCAAAUUCC